This 250-nucleotide ribosomal RNA is filed under the name uncultured bacterium. RNAcentral's name for it is "partial 16S ribosomal RNA". It matches the Rfam family "Bacterial small subunit ribosomal RNA", at positions 524 to 773 of the family's 1533-position model. The record is from RNAcentral.
UACGGAGGGUGCAAGCGUUGUUCGGAAUCACUGGGCGUAAAGCGCACGUAGGCGGCCGAUCGUGUCGAAUGUGAAAGCCCUCGGCUCAACCGAGGAAGUGCAUUCGAAACUGGUCGGCUUGAGUCCGGUAGAGGAGGGUGGAAUUCCGGGUGUAGAGGUGAAAUUCGUAGAUAUCCGGAGGAACACCGGUGGCGAAAGCGGCCCUCUGGGCCGGUACUGACGCUGAGGUGCGAAAGCGUGGGGAGCAAAC